AUUGAACGCUGGCGGCAUGCUUUACACAUGCAAGUCGAACGGUAACAGCACUUCGGUGGCUGACGAGUGGCGAACGGGUGAGUAAUACAUCGGAACGUGCCUAGUAGUGGGGGAUAACUACUCGCAAGAGUAGCUAAUACCGCAUGAGAUCUAAGGAUGAAAGCAGGGGACCUUCGGGCCUUGCGCUACUAGAGCGGCUGAUGGCAGAUUAGGUAGUUGGUGGGAUAAAAGCUUACCAAGCCGACGAUCUGUAGCUGGUCUGAGAGGACGACCAGCCACACUGGGACUGAGACACGGCCCAGACUCCUACGGGAGGCAGCAGUGGGGAAUUUUGGACAAUAGGCGCAAGCCUGAUCCAGCAAUGCCGCGUGCAGGAUGAAGGCCUUCGGGUUGUAAACUGCUUUUGUACGGAACGAAAAGCCCUCUUCUAAUACAGGAGGGUCAUGACGGUACCGUAAGAAUAAGCACCGGCUAACUACGUG
This 482-nucleotide ribosomal RNA is filed under the name uncultured bacterium. Its description in RNAcentral is "partial 16S ribosomal RNA". It matches the Rfam family "Bacterial small subunit ribosomal RNA", at positions 30 to 507 of the family's 1533-position model. The record is from RNAcentral.